This 253-nucleotide ribosomal RNA is filed under the name uncultured bacterium. Its description in RNAcentral is "partial 16S ribosomal RNA". It matches the Rfam family "Bacterial small subunit ribosomal RNA", at positions 524 to 776 of the family's 1533-position model. The record is from RNAcentral.
UACAGAGGUCCCAAGCGUUGUUCGGAUUCAUUGGGCGUAAAGGGUGCGUAGGUGGCGUCGUAAGUCGGGUGUGAAAUCUCGGGGCUUAACUCCGAAACUGCAUUCGAUACUGGCGUGCUUGAGGACUGGAGAGGAGACUGGAAUUCAUGGUGUAGCAGUGAAAUGCGUAGAGAUCAUGAGGAAGACCAGUGGCGAAGGCGGGUCUCUGGACAGUUCCUGACACUGAGACACGAAGGCCAGGGGAGCAAACGGG